AUUGAACGCUGGCGGAAUGCUUUACACAUGCAAGUCGAACGGCAGCACGGGGCAACCUGGUGGCGAGUGGCGAACGGGUGAGUAAUACAUCGGAACGUGCCCAAUCGUGGGGGAUAACGUAGCGAAAGUUACGCUAAUACCGCAUACGAUCUACGGAUGAAAGCGGGGGAUCGCAAGACCUCGCGCGGACGGAGCGGCCGAUGGCAGAUUAGGUAGUUGGUGGGGUAAAAGCCUACCAAGCCGACGAUCUGUAGCUGGUCUGAGAGGACGACCAGCCACACUGGGACUGAGACACGGCCCAGACUCCUACGGGAGGCAGCAGUGGGGAAUUUUGGGACAAUGGGCGCAAGCCUGAUCCAGCCAUGCCGCGUGCGGGAAAGGCCUCGGUGUAACCGCUUUGUCAGGAAGAACGCUCUGGGCUAAUACCCUGGGGUAAUGACGGUACCUGAAGAAUAAGCACCGGCUAACUACGUAGCCAGCAGCCGCGGUAUGCUACGUACG
RNAcentral lists this ribosomal RNA (501 nucleotides) under uncultured bacterium. Its description in RNAcentral is "bacterial SSU rRNA". It matches the Rfam family "Bacterial small subunit ribosomal RNA", at positions 29 to 531 of the family's 1533-position model. The record is from RNAcentral.